GAUGAACGCUGGCGGCGUGCCUAAUACAUGCAAGUCGAGCGAACGGACGAGAAGCUUGCUUCUCUGAUGUUAGCGGCGGACGGGUGAGUAACACGUGGAUAACCUACCUAUAAGACUGGGAUAACUUCGGGAAACCGGAGCUAAUACCGGAUAAUAUUUUGAACCGCAUGGUUCAAAAGUGAAAGACGGUCUUGCUGUCACUUAUAGAUGGAUCCGCGCUGCAUUAGCUAGUUGGUAAGGUAACGGCUUACCAAGGCAACGAUGCAUAGCCGACCUGAGAGGGUGAUCGGACACACUGGAACUGAGACACGGUCCCGACUCCUACGGGAGGCAGCAGUAGGGAAUCUUCCGCAAUGGGCGAAAGCCUGACGGAGCAACGCCGCGUGAGUGAUGAAGGUCUUCGGAUCGUAAAACUCUGUUAUUAGGAAAGAACAUAUGUGUAAGUAACUGUGCACAUCUUGACGGUACCUAAUCAGAAAGCCACGGCUAACUACGUG
Molecule: ribosomal RNA, 497 nt
Filed under: uncultured bacterium
Lineage: Bacteria
Description: partial 16S ribosomal RNA
Rfam family: Bacterial small subunit ribosomal RNA
Source: RNAcentral